This 450-nucleotide ribosomal RNA is filed under the name uncultured Glomus. RNAcentral's name for it is "SSU rRNA". It matches the Rfam family "Eukaryotic small subunit ribosomal RNA", at positions 569 to 1023 of the family's 1831-position model. The record is from RNAcentral. Lineage: Eukaryota; Fungi; Glomeromycota; Glomeromycetes; Glomerales; Glomeraceae.
AGCAGCCGCGGUAAUUCCAGCUCCAAUAGCGUAUAUUAAAGUUGUUGCAGUUAAAAAGCUCGUAGUUGAAUUUCGGGAUCGACGGGUCGGUCGCGCCUCUGGUGUGUACUGGCCCUGUCGGUUUCUCCCUUCUGACGAACUGCGAUGUCAUUAAUUUGGUGUCGUAGGGAAUCAGGACUGUUACUUUGAAAAAAUUAGAGUGUUUAAAGCAGGCAUUCGCUUGAAUACAUUAGCAUGGAAUAAUGAAAUAGGACGUUUGAUCUUAUUUUGUUGGUUUCUAAGAUCGACGUAAUGAUUAAUAGGGAUAGUUGGGGGCAUUAGUAUUCAAUUGUCAGAGGUGAAAUUCUUGGAUUUAUUGAAGACUAACUACUGCGAAAGCAUUUGCCAAGGAUGUUUUCAUUAAUCAAGAACGAAAGUUAGGGGAUCGAAGACGAUCAGAUACCGUCGUAG